RNAcentral lists this ribosomal RNA (464 nucleotides) under uncultured bacterium. Its description in RNAcentral is "partial 16S ribosomal RNA". It matches the Rfam family "Bacterial small subunit ribosomal RNA", at positions 339 to 795 of the family's 1533-position model. The record is from RNAcentral.
CUACGGGGGGCAGCAGUGGGGAAUAUUGGACAAUGGGGGAAACCCUGAUCCAGCAAUGCCGCGUGUGUGAAGAAGGCCUGCGGGUUGUAAAGCACUUUCGGUUGGGAGGACUGCUUCUAGCACUAAUAUUGUUGGAAGUUGACGUUACCUUCAGAAGAAGCACCGGCUAACUCUGUGCCAGCAGCCGCGGUAUACGGAGGGUGCAAGCGUUAAUCGGAAUUACUGGGCGUAAAGCGCGCGUAGGCGGCUAGAUCAGUCGGGUGUGAAAGCCCCGGGCUUAACCUGGGAACUGCAUCCGAUACUGUCUAGCUUGAGUACAGGAGAGGAGAGUGGAAUUCCACAUGUAGCGGUGAAAUGCGUAGAUAUGUGGAGGAACACCAAUGGCGAAGGCAGCUCUCUGGCCUGAUACUGACGCUGAGGUGCAAAAGCGUGGGGAGCAAACAGGAUUAGAUACCCCAGUAGUC